RNAcentral lists this small RNA (271 nucleotides) under Mesocricetus auratus (golden hamster). RNAcentral's name for it is "7SK RNA (ENSMAUG00000006216.1)". The record is from RNAcentral. Lineage: Eukaryota; Metazoa; Chordata; Mammalia; Rodentia; Cricetidae.
GACAAGGGUUGAUAUGGCUGUGUGGCCAGAGGAGUAGUUUUGCCUUCCUGCCUCCCACGGCAAGGGCAUUCCCCCUAACACUCUAACACUACCCUCAGUCAAAAGGAAAAUCUUUCCAGGUGAAGAAGAUCACUCCUCAUCAUGGGCAUAAAGCAUAGCUGAGCUCCCCUGAUAGAACCUCUAAAUACGCUCUUGAAGAUAGCAGAAAGAAACAAAAGGAAUAGCUGAGUGACCAAAGUGCGAUUUAAGACCACUACAGUAGUGUAUAUGU